GAUGAACGCUGGCGGCGUGCCUAAUACAUGCAAGUCGUGCGGAAAGGCCACUUCGGUGGUACUCGAGCGGCGGACGGCAGAGUAACGCGUAGGAACAUACCCCAAACUGAGGGAUAACUGCUCGAAGAGUAGCUAAUACCGCAUGUGAUCUUCGGAUUAAAGCUUCGGCGGUUUGGGAAUGGCCUGCGUCCGAUUAGCUUGUUGGUGAGGUAAUAGCUCACCAAGGCGACGAUCGGUAGCUGGUCUGAGAGGAUGAUCAGCCUGACUGGAACUGAGAACGGUCCAGACUCCUACGGGAGGCAGCAGUAGGGAAUUUUCCACAAUGGGCGAAAGCCUGAUGGAGCAACGCCGCGUGCAGGAUGAAUGCCUUCGGGUUGUAAACUGCUUUAUUAGUGAAGAAUAUGACGGUAACUAAUGAAUAAGGGUCGGCUAACUACGUGCC
RNAcentral lists this ribosomal RNA (442 nucleotides) under uncultured bacterium. RNAcentral's name for it is "bacterial SSU rRNA". It matches the Rfam family "Bacterial small subunit ribosomal RNA", at positions 28 to 509 of the family's 1533-position model. The record is from RNAcentral.